UCUUCGUAGGUGAACCUGCGGAGGGAUCAUUAGUGAAUUGCAACAUGGGGAGUCCCUUUCUCACCGGAAGAAGGCCCCGCAACUCCACUUUAUUCUUCACACUUUGUGAACUGUUCGUGUGUCCUUCAGCGGCUUUGCGGCCGCUGCUGGACGCGUUAGCCUUUUUAACCCUUUUUGCACUUGCAAAAGUCUUGAUAAUACAAGUUGAUCAAAUGAAAGAAAAACUUUCAGCAAUGGAUCUCUUGGCUCUCGCAUCGAUGAAGAACGCAGC
RNAcentral lists this unclassified non-coding RNA (271 nucleotides) under uncultured fungus. Its description in RNAcentral is "sequence contains ITS1, 5.8S rRNA gene". The stretch from base 223 to 271 matches the Rfam family "5.8S ribosomal RNA", at positions 1 to 49 of the family's 154-position model. Lineage: Eukaryota; Fungi. The record is from RNAcentral.